UGUAUUUAUUAGAUUAAAAACCAAUGCCCUUCGGGGCUCUCUGGUGAUUCAUAAUAACUUCUCGAAUCGCACGGCCUUGCGCCGGCGAUGGUUCAUUCAAAUUUCUGCCCUAUCAACUUUCGACGGCUGGGUCUUGGCCAGCCGUGGUGACAACGGGUAACGGAGGGUUAGGGCUCGACCCCGGAGAAGGAGCCUGAGAAACGGCUACUACAUCCAAGGAAGGCAGCAGGCGCGCAAAUUACCCAAUCCCGACACGGGGAGGUAGUGACAAUAAAUACUGAUACAGGGCUCUUUCGGGUCUUGUAAUUGGAAUGAGUACAAUUUAAAUCCCUUAACGAGGAACAAUUGGAGGGCAAGUCUGGUGCCAGCAGCCGCGGUAAUUCCAGCUCCAAUAGCGUAUAUUAAAGUUGUUGAGGUUAAAAAGCUCGUAGUUGAACCUUGGGCCUAGCCGGCCGGUCCGCCUCACCGCGUGCACUGGCUCGGCUGGGUCUUUCCUUCUGGAGAACCUCAUGCCCUUCACUGGGUGUGACGGGGAACCAGG
This 541-nucleotide ribosomal RNA is filed under the name uncultured eukaryote. Its description in RNAcentral is "SSU rRNA". It matches the Rfam family "Eukaryotic small subunit ribosomal RNA", at positions 202 to 746 of the family's 1831-position model. The record is from RNAcentral.